Perca flavescens (yellow perch) is the source of this 312-nucleotide long non-coding RNA. RefSeq lists it as uncharacterized. The transcript is spliced from 4 exons. NCBI's taxonomy places the organism in Eukaryota, Metazoa, Chordata, Actinopteri, Perciformes, Percidae. The record is from RefSeq and is a predicted model, not a curated record.
CUUUUUUUUGGCCAUCUAAUAGUUUUGUUGUCAACAUCAAUCCAGUUGUCUGGGGCAGUUCCCUCCACUUCCUUGCCAUGCUCCACCCACACAGCCCUGGCAUACAUGAUCUGGUAAUGGACAAUCAGGGCAAAGCAAAAAGAACUAGAAAGAGGAAAGUCUUCCAUGACUUUAAUGACUUGGACCUUGAAAACGGCAGUGAUGUGACAGUGAUUGCUCAGUCAAAGUCUCCUGGCAGUCAAAAAACGUCACAUAACAAACAGCCAUCUUUCAGAGAGAGAAUUCAUGAAUCAUUCUCCAGGCCAUCUGGGA